This 253-nucleotide ribosomal RNA is filed under the name uncultured bacterium. RNAcentral describes it as "partial 16S ribosomal RNA". It matches the Rfam family "Bacterial small subunit ribosomal RNA", at positions 524 to 776 of the family's 1533-position model. The record is from RNAcentral.
UACGUAGGCAGCGAGCGUUGUUCGGAGUUACUGGGCGUAAAGGGUGUGUAGGCGGUUUUCUAAGUCUGGUGUGAAAUCUCCCGGCUCAACUGGGAGGGUGCGCCGAAAACUGGAAGGCUAGAGUACUGGAUGGGUAAGUGGAAUUCCUGGUGUAGCGGUGAAAUGCGUAGAUAUCAGGAGGAAUACCGGUGGCGAAGGCGGCAUCCUGGACCGACAUUGACGCUGAGGAGCGAAAGCUAGGGGAGCAAACGGG